RNAcentral lists this ribosomal RNA (497 nucleotides) under uncultured bacterium. Its description in RNAcentral is "partial 16S ribosomal RNA". It matches the Rfam family "Bacterial small subunit ribosomal RNA", at positions 28 to 507 of the family's 1533-position model. The record is from RNAcentral.
GAUGAACGCUGGCGGCGUGCCUAAUACAUGCAAGUCGAGCGAACAGACGAGGAGCUUGCUCCUCUGACGUUAGCGGCGGACGGGUGAGUAACACGUGUAUAACCUACCUAUAAGACUGGGAUAACUUCGGGAAACCGGAGCUAAUACCGGAGAAUAUAUUGAACCGCAUGGUUCAAUAGUGAAAGACGGUGUUGCGGUCACGUAUAGAUGGAUCCGCGCCGGAUUAGCUAGUUGGUAAGGUAACGGCUUACCAAGGCAACGAUGCGUAGCCGACCUGAGGGGGUGAUCGGCCACACUGGAACUGAGACACGGUCCAGACUCCUACGGGAGGCAGCAGUAUGGAAUCUUCCGCAAUGGGCGAAAGCCUGACGGAGCAACGCCGCGCGAGUGAUGACGGUCCUCGGAUCGUAAAACUCUGUUAUUAGGGAAGAACCACUGUGUAAGUAACUAUGCACGUCUUGACGGUACCUAAUCAGAAAGCCCCGGCUAACUACGUG